RNAcentral lists this ribosomal RNA (534 nucleotides) under uncultured bacterium. Its description in RNAcentral is "partial 16S ribosomal RNA". It matches the Rfam family "Bacterial small subunit ribosomal RNA", at positions 355 to 906 of the family's 1533-position model. The record is from RNAcentral.
UGGGGAAUAUUGGACAAUGGGGGCAACCCUGAUCCAGCAAUGCCGCGUGUGUGAAGAAGGUCUUCGGAUUGUAAAGCACUUUCGACGGGGACGAUGAUGACGGUACCCGUAGAAGAAGCCCCGGCUAACUUCGUGCCAGCAGCCGCGGUAAUACGAAGGGGGCUAGCGUCGCUCGGAAUGACUGGGCGUAAAGGGCGUGUAGGCGGUUUACACAGUCAGAUGUGAAAUCCCCGGGCUUAACCUGGGAGCUGCAUUUGAUACGUGUAGACUAGAGUGUGAGAGAGGGUUGUGGAAUUCCCAGUGUAGAGGUGAAAUUCGUAGAUAUUGGGAAGAACACCGGUGGCGAAGGCGGCAACCUGGCUCAUGACUGACGCUGAGGCGCGAAAGCGUGGGGAGCAAACAGGAUUAGAUACCCUGGUAGUCCACGCUGUAAACGAUGUGUGCUGGAUGUUGGGUAACUUUGUUAUUCAGUGUCGCAGUUAACGCGUUAAGCACACCGCCUGGGGAGUACGGCCGCAAGGUUGAAACUCUAAA